RNAcentral lists this unclassified non-coding RNA (2399 nucleotides) under Hevea brasiliensis (rubber tree). Lineage: Eukaryota; Viridiplantae; Streptophyta; Magnoliopsida; Malpighiales; Euphorbiaceae. The record is from RNAcentral.
GCUUCAAUAAAACAAAAUAAUAAUUUAUUUAUAAUAGUUUGUAUGUACAUAUCAAAAUUUUUUAUUUACGCGAAAAGAAAAAACAAGAAAAGGAGCAGUGAAUCUGCACAAUUUAAAUUGAAUGGUAGUGUUCUGUAUUUUCUUGAGAUCUAACAUAGGAAAACUUGGGAUUUUUUUUUCCAGGAAAAUAAGGGGUGAGAUUUCUUGAUUCUUGAGAAAAUUUCCUUGUCGGAAGUUUUUUCGAGAGUGGGCAAUAGACCUGCCAGCACAUAUUAGCGCCCAUCCCCAUCAUACCAUUUCUGGGUUUUGUCUUGUUUCUUCUUUCGUUCUUUGUUGAUCCAAAAUCAAGAAAUGCCAGUUUAUCUUGAACAAGGUGAACAACUAUCGUUCUUUCCUGCUUCUGCUUCUGAAUAUUCACUUUCAAGUAACUUAAACGUCUCUCUGCUGAUUUUCUGCAAACUUCUGAACAGAUUUUGUUGCUUUUCAGUAAAGACCCAUGGUUUUAAUGGGCUAAAAGGCUCUCACUGAUUUCCAUCGGUUUCAAUGGGUUUUUGGAGUCCUUCCAAAGUCCUCCCGAAAUUUCUCUGCUCAUUUCUCGUCUGAAUUGCUGUUGAUGAAUUGUAAAGCUGUCUGUUGAUAAGUUUCUCAGCCCUUUCCCCAGAGAAUCAUAACGCGAAAUUGCACAGUAACCAUAGUCGUAAUCGUACACUUCUUCCUGACCACCAAUUUGUCAAGUAAAGCUUUUUUUAUCUUUUGGGCUCUGUUAUAAACUUCUUCCUCUUGGCUCUUCAUUGCUCACAUCUACAGUGUUCUCAAAAACAGCUAUAAGCUCUGUUUUGCUCACUUCAAAGAACUCUGUUCUUGCAGUUCGGCUUUCUAACCUUUUCUGGAAGAAAUGGCUAGGUUCUGGAAUGUGUUCACUUUGAGGAACUUGCUGGUGUUAUCUCUAGCCAUCAAUGUGAGCUUCAUGUUGAGGCUGGUGUAUGUGACCGUUGACAUAAAGAGAGAGCACAUGAUGGCAGUUGACCGUUCCCAGAGAGAGGCACUGCCUAUGCAGGGGGCAUAUCUGUCUGUGUCCUCCGCCACCUCGUCACCUUCCUUGGCUACUUUCCCUGACGGAGACAGAGACAGGGCGAUCAAUCUCGACCAUGGUGAUCCCACCAUGUACGAGAGAUUCUGGCAGCAAGAAGGCGACAAGGCCACAAUCGUGAUCCCUGGCUGGCAAUCAAUGAGCUAUUUCUCUGAUAUUGGAAACCUAUGCUGGUUUCUAGAGCCGGAGUUUGCCAGACAGGUGCUCAGACUGCACAAAAUCGUAGGCAAUGCGGUCACUGAGAACCGUCAUAUUGUGGUUGGUACGGGUUCUACUCAGCUAUUUCAAGCUGUGCUAUAUGCACUUGCUUCUCAAGAUUCAGAGGAGCCUGUCAGUGUUGUAUCUGCAGCUCCAUACUACUCUUCUUAUCAGGCAAUAACAGAAUGCCUGAAGUCUGGGCUAUACAAAUGGGAAGGGGAUGCCCGAAGUUUCGCAAAAGAAGGGCGAUUCAUCGAACUAGUGACAUCCCCUAAUAACCCAGAUGGAUUUUUGAGGGAUUCUGUGCUGAAUAGAAGUGGGGGUGUAUUGGUGCACGAUUUUGCUUACUACUGGCCACAAUAUACUCCCAUCACUUCUCCGGCUGACUACGACAUUAUGCUGUUCACCGUCUCCAAAACCACUGGGCAUGCUGGAAUGCGCAUUGGCUGGGCUCUUGUUAAGGAUAGAGAGAUCGCCAAAAGAAUGGUGAAAUACAUCGAGCUCAACAGCAUUGGCGUUUCCAAGGAUUCGCAGCUGCGGGCUGCAAAGGUUUUGAAAGUUGUUUGUGACAGCUGUGAAUCUUCCAGCAAUACAACGGAGUCCCUUUUUGAGUUUGCCUAUCAACUCAUGGUAGAGAGAUGGCAAAACCUGAGGGUGGCGGUGAAACAUAGUGGCAUGUUCAGCUUGCCGGAAUUCUCUCCUGGAUUCUGCAAGUUCACGGGAAGGAUCUUCGAGCCUUUGCCUGCUUUUGCAUGGUUGAAGUGCGAAGAACCUAUCGAAGACUGCGAGAGCUUCCUACGAUCUAACAAGAUCUUGACGAGGGGUGGGAGACACUUCGGAGUUGGCCCGCAAUACGUUAGGAUUAGUUUGCUAGAUCGUGAUGACAACUUUGAUUUGUUUGUGGAGAGAUUGUCCAGCAUUCGCAAGGAUAAUCUCUACCAACACAUGGGGGAGUGAGCAGCAGACUGACUUCCUUUUUUUUCUUUUUGUAUUGAAAAUCUAAGAGUGAGGCGGCUAGCAUGGGCCUUCUCGUAUUUGUAAUCUAAUAAAGAGAUUAAUUUGCUCGUUGCGAUGAAAAACACAGAAAUGAAAUCCUCCUGCUGGUUUUCCA